This 253-nucleotide ribosomal RNA is filed under the name uncultured bacterium. RNAcentral's name for it is "partial 16S ribosomal RNA". It matches the Rfam family "Bacterial small subunit ribosomal RNA", at positions 524 to 776 of the family's 1533-position model. The record is from RNAcentral.
UACGGGGGGUGCGAGCGUUGUCCGGAAUCACUGGGCGUAAAGGGCGCGUAGGUGGUUUGAUAAGGGUGUGGUGAAAGCCCGGGGCUCAACCCCGGGUCUGCCGUGCCGACUGUUAAACUCGAGGGCUGUAGAGGCAGACGGAAUUCCGGGUGUAGCGGUGAAAUGCGUUGAUAUCGAAAGGAACGCCGGUGGCGAAAGCGGUCCGCUGGGUCCCCACUGACGCUGAGGCGCGAAAGCCAGGGGAGCAAACGGG